This 433-nucleotide unclassified non-coding RNA is filed under the name soil metagenome. RNAcentral's name for it is "partial contains 5.8S ribosomal RNA, internal transcribed spacer 2, and large subunit ribosomal RNA". The stretch from base 1 to 120 matches the Rfam family "5.8S ribosomal RNA", at positions 35 to 154 of the family's 154-position model. The record is from RNAcentral.
GAUGAAGAACGUAGCGAAAUGCGAUACGUAAUGUGAAUUGCAGAAUUAAGUGAAUCAUCGAAUCUUUGAACGCAUAUUGCGCUCUUUGGUAUUCCGAAGAGCAUGCUUGUUUGAGUAUCAGUAAACACCUCAAAGCUUUUGGAUUUUUUAAUCGAAAAGCUUUGGACUUGAGCAAUCCCAACACCAAUCUUUUUGAGAUCGGUGGCGGGUUGCUUGAAAUGCAGGUGCAGCUGGACAUUCUCCUGAGCUAAAAGCAUAUUCAUUUAGUCCCGUCAAACGGAUUAUUACUUUUGCUGCAGCUAACAUAAAGGGAGUUUGACCGUAUUGGCUGACUGAUGCAGGAUUUCACAAGGGUCGGCAACGAUUCUUGUUAAACUCGAUCUCAAAUCAAGUAAGACUACCCGCUGAACUUAAGCAUAUCAUAAGCGGAGGA